GGCUCAGGACGAACGCUGGCGGCGUGCUUAACACAUGCAAGUCUACGACGCUUUUGUAGCAAUAUGAAAGUGGAGUGGCGCACGGGUGAGUAACACGUAUGUAAUCUGCCUUUUGUUCGGGGAUAACACUUCCAACGAGGUGCUAAUACCCGAUGAUGCAGCGGCACCGCAUGGUGACAGUUGUUAAAGCUUCGGCGACGAAAGAUGAACAUGCGUCUGAUUAGCUAGUUGGUGGGGUAACGGCCCACCAAGGCAACGAUCAGUAGCUGGUCUGAGAGGAUGAUCAGCCACACUGGGACUGAGACACGGCCCAGACUCCUACGGGAGGCAGCAGUGAGGAAUAUUGCGCAAUGGACGAAAGUCUGACGCAGCAACGCCGCGUGCGGGAUGAAGGCCUUUCAGGUCGUAAACCGCUGUAGCAGGGGACAAAUUUCCCGUUCGACGGGAUUGAUGGUACCCUGAAAGUAAGCCUCGGCUAACUACGUGCCAGCAGCCGCGGUAAUACGUAGGAGGCAAGCGUUGUCCGGAUUUACUGGGUGUAAAGGGUCCGCAGGCGGGUGUGUAAGUCGGUGGUGAAAUCCUACAGCUUAACUGUAGAACCGCCUCCGAGACUGCAUAUCUUGAAUAUAGGAGAGGGCAAUGGAAUUCCAGGUGUAGCGGUGAAAUGCUUGGAUAUCUGGAAGAACACCGGUUGCGAAGGCUGUUGCCUGGCCUAGUAUUGACGCUCAGGGACGAAAGCGUGGGGAUCAAACAGGAUUAGAUACCCUGGUUGUCCACGCUGUAAACGAUGGAUACUCGGUGUCGGUCCCGCAGAGCACUCGCGAGUCGAGUGCCCCGCGGGAUCGGUGCCUAAGCUAACGCAGUAAGUAUCCCACCUGGGAAGU
RNAcentral lists this ribosomal RNA (884 nucleotides) under uncultured bacterium. Its description in RNAcentral is "bacterial SSU rRNA". It matches the Rfam family "Bacterial small subunit ribosomal RNA", at positions 21 to 881 of the family's 1533-position model. The record is from RNAcentral.